UUGGUUAUGCUAAUAAGAGCGUAUGGUGGAUGCCUUGGCACUAAGAGCCGAUGAAAGACGUGAUAAGCUGCGAAAAGCUUCGGGGAGGAGCAAAUAUCCUGAGAUCCGGAGAUUUCUGAAUGGGGAAACCUACUUGAGAAAACCUCAAGUAUCCACAGCCCAAUCCAUAAGCUGUGGAAGGGAACCCGGUGAACUGAAACAUCUAAGUAGCCGGAGGAAGAGAAAACAACAUGUGAUUCCGUAAGUAGCGGCGAGCGAACGCGGAAGAGCCCAAACCGGAGUGCGUGCACUCCGGGGUUCGGACUGCAGAAUCGAUGAGUGAGCCUAGUAGAAUGGUUUUGGGAAAGCCAGCCAGAGAGGGUGAAAGCCCCGUACACGAAAGGCGAGCGAGCGAAGCAGGAUCCAGAGUACCACGAGACACGUGAAACCUUGUGGGAAUGCGCGGGGACCACCCCGUAAGGCUAAAUACUCCUUAGUGACCGAUAGCGCAUAGUACUGUGAAGGAAAGGUGAAAAGGACCCCGGGAGGGGAGUGAAAGAGAACCUGAAACCAUAUGUUUACAAGCUGUGGAACAUCUUUAUAUGAUGAACCGCGUACUUUUUGUAGAACGGUCCGGCGAGUUACGCUGGCUGGCGAGGUUAAGGGCUGAAGGUCUGGAGCCGAAGGGAAACCAAGUCUGAAGAGGGCGAAAUAGUCAGUCGGAGUAGACCCGAAACCGGGUGAUCUAUCCAUGUCCAGGUUGAAGUUGCCGUAAAAGGCAAUGGAGGACCGAACCCACAUCCGUUGAAAAGGGUGGGGAUGAGGUGUGGAUAGGGGAGAAAUUCCAAUCGAACCCGGAGAUAGCUGGUUCUCCUCGAAAUAGCUUUAGGGCUAGCCUCAUGCAAGUCUUACGGAGGUAGAGCACUGAAUUCCUAAGGGGGCGUCAAAGCUUACCAAGGGAUAUCAAACUCCGAAUGCCGUGUAGAUGGUGCAUGGGAGUCAGACUAUCCGAGAUAAGUUGGGUAGUCAAAAGGGAAAGAGCCCAGACCUACAGCUAAGGUCCCAAAAUGUGUGUUAAGUGGAAAAGGAUGUGGGAUUUCGAAGACAACUAGGAUGUUGGCUUAGAAGCAGCCAUCCAUUAAAAGAGUGCGUAAUAGCUCACUAGUCGAGAGGUCCUGCGCCGAAAAUGUCCGGGGCUGAAACACACUACCGAAGCUUAGGAAUUGA
Molecule: ribosomal RNA, 1206 nt
Filed under: Mediterraneibacter gnavus
Lineage: Bacteria; Bacillati; Bacillota; Clostridia; Lachnospirales; Lachnospiraceae
Description: partial 23S ribosomal RNA
Rfam family: Bacterial large subunit ribosomal RNA
Source: RNAcentral